AUACGGAGGAUGCGAGCGUUAUCCCGAUUUAUUGGGUUUAAAGGGAGCGUAGGUGGGAUAUUAAGUCAGCUGUGAAAGUUUGGGGCUCAACCUUAAAAUUGCAGUUGAUACUGGUUUCCUUGAGUACGGUACAGGUGGGCGGAAUUCGUGGUGUAGCGGUGAAAUGCUUAGAUAUCACGAAGAACUCCGAUCGCGAAGGCAGCUCACCGGGCCGGAACUGACACUGAUGCUCGAAAGUGCGGGUAUCAAACAGGAUUAGAUACCCUGGUAGUCCGCACAGUAAACGAUGAAUACUCGCUGUUUGCGAUACACGGUAAGCGGCCAAGCGAAAGCGUUAAGUAUUCCACCUGGGGAGUACGCCGGCAACGGUGAAACUUAAAGGAAUUGACGGGG
Molecule: ribosomal RNA, 393 nt
Filed under: uncultured bacterium
Lineage: Bacteria
Description: partial 16S ribosomal RNA
Rfam family: Bacterial small subunit ribosomal RNA
Source: RNAcentral